GACGAACGCUGGCGGCGUGCUUAACACAUGCAAGUCGAACGGAAAGGCCCUGCUUGUGUGGGGUGCUCGAGUGGCGAACGGGUGAGGAACACGUGAGUAACCUGCCCUUGACUUUGGUAUAACUUCAGGAAACUGGGGCUAAUACCGGAUAGGAGCUGCUGCUGCAUGGAGGGGGUUGGAAAGUUUCGGCGGUUGGGGAUGGACUCGCGGCUUAUCAGCUUGUUGGUGGGGGAGUGGCUUACCAAGGCUUUGACGGGUAGCCGGCCUGAGAGGGUGACCGGCCCCAUUGGGACUGAGAUACGGCCCAGACUCGUACAGGAGGCAGCAGUGGGGAAUAUUCCACAAUGGGCGGACGCCUGAUGCAGCAACGCCGCGUGCGGGAUGACGGCCUUCGGGUUGUAAACCGCUUUCGCCUGUGACGAAGCGUGAGUGACGGUAAUGCGUAAAGAAGCACCGGCUAACUACGUG
Molecule: ribosomal RNA, 468 nt
Filed under: uncultured bacterium
Lineage: Bacteria
Description: partial 16S ribosomal RNA
Rfam family: Bacterial small subunit ribosomal RNA
Source: RNAcentral